UCCGGCUUAACGCCGGCAGUCCCCCCAGAGUCCCCGGCCGAACCGCUGGCAACUGGGAGCGAGAGUUGCGCUCGUUGCGGGACUUAACCCAACAUCUCACGACACGAGCUGACGACAGCCAUGCAGCACCUGUGCUGGCGCUCCGAAGAGGGGCCGAUGUUUCCACCGGCUUACACCAGCAUAGUUCAACCCAGGUAAGGUUCUUCGCGUUGCAUCGAAUUAAGCCACAUGCUCCGCCGCUUGUGCGGGCCCCGUCAAUUCCUUUGAGUUUUAGCCUUGCGGCCGUACUCCCCAGGCGGGGCGCUUAAUGCGUUAGCUGCGGCACGGAAUCCGUGGAAGGACCCCACACCUAGCGCCCAACGUUUACGGCGUGGACUAC
RNAcentral lists this unclassified non-coding RNA (379 nucleotides) under uncultured bacterium. Its description in RNAcentral is "contains 16S-23S intergenic spacer region". The record is from RNAcentral.